This 213-nucleotide long non-coding RNA is filed under the name Lathyrus oleraceus (garden pea). Its description in RNAcentral is "Pisum sativum (pea) long non-coding RNA (PSAT_LNC005495)". Lineage: Eukaryota; Viridiplantae; Streptophyta; Magnoliopsida; Fabales; Fabaceae. The record is from RNAcentral.
AACAAUUAAAAAUAUGCACAAUAAUAUUUAAUUCAUGAAAAAUAUCAAAAUUAAUCCAAAAUAAAUUUUAAUUCAGAAAAUGGAAGAGAAAAAUAUUUAAAGAUUUUUGGUGAAAGUCCCAUAUUUUUUGGAUUAAAAAUGAAAUUAAUAUGAACUAAACAAAAUAAAUGGAUUAAAUGGAAAAUCAGAAAAUAAAAAGAAAUUCAAAAAAAC